Oncorhynchus tshawytscha (Chinook salmon) is the source of this 1903-nucleotide long non-coding RNA. The record is from Ensembl. Lineage: Eukaryota; Metazoa; Chordata; Actinopteri; Salmoniformes; Salmonidae.
UAACAAUAGAAUCACCCUGGGACUGAAGGGAUUGUCUUAAGACCAAUGUGCUACAGUUCUAACAAUAGAAUCACCCCGGGACUGAAGGGAUUGUCUUAAGACCAAUGUGCUACAGUUCUAACAAUAGAAUCACCCCGGGACUGAAGGGAUUGUCUUAAGACCAAUGUGCUACAGUUCUAACAAUAGAAUCACCCCGGGACUGAAGGGAUUGUCUUAAGACCAAUGUGCUACAGUUCUAACAAUAGAAUCACCCCGGGACUGAAGGGAUUGUCUUAAGACCAAUGUGACUGUCUCAGAGUUAAGAUAAAAAUAACACAUAAAACAAGGCAUUCAAAAGGGCUAGCAGCAGCUGCCAUGGUUUAAUAGUUAAAAAGACCAAACCCUUGAGAAAGGCCCUGUGCAGUGGGUGAUAUAAAAAACAUUUCAUAAGAGGUUUAUAUUAUUGAAACCAAAACAGUAUACAAUGUAGUCUAUUCUCAUCCCUACCCUCAAUAACUCCCUAAUGGCCCAUGUGGCCCUGGUCAAACGUAGUGCAUUAUAUAGGGAAUAUGGUCCCAUUUGGGACUCAGCCCUUAUGAAUGGCUCAGUGUCGUGUAGAGCAGGUUGCCCAGGUCAGUAGCCUCCUGGGAGAAUGGUGAUUGAUUACAUGACUUUGUUCCACCUGGUAAAUCUCUUCAAUGGAUCCCUGCAUCCCAUCUCUGCAUCUAAUCAAUACAUUCAUACGUAUGACUCAGACUAAUGACAUUUAAUAGGGGCUGAGCUGGGGAUGGGACUAGGGCUGGGGAUGGGACUAGGUCUGAGCUGGGGAUGGGACUAGGGCUGGGGAUGGGACUAGGGCUGGGGAUGGGACUAGGGCUGGGGAUGGGACUAGGGCUGGGGAUGGGACUAGGUCUGAGCUGGAGAUGGGACUAGGGCUGGGGAUGGGACUAGAGCUGGGGAUGGGACUAGGGCUAAACUGGGGAUGGGACUAGGGCUAAACUGGGGAUGGGACUAGGUCUGAGCUGGGGAUGGGAGUAGGGCUGGGACUAGGGCUGGGGAUGGGACUAGGGCUGUGGAUGGGACUAGGUCUGAGCUGGGGAUGGGACUAGGUCUGAGCUGGGGAUGGGACUAGGACUGGGGAUGGGACUAGGUCUGAGCUGGGGAUGGUCCUAGGUCUGGGGAUGGGACUAGGGCUGGGGAUGGGACUAGGACUGGGGAUGGGACUAGGGCUGAGCUGGGGAUGGAACUAAGGCUGAGCUGGGGAUGGGACUAAGGCUGAGCUGGAGAUGGGACUAGGGCUGAGCUGGGGAUGGGACUAUGUCUGAGCUGGGGAUGGGACUAGGGCUGGGGAUGGGACUAGGGCUGGGGAUGGGACUAGGGCUGGGGAUGGGACUAGGUCUGAGCUGGGGAUGGGACUAUGUCUGAGCUGGGGAUGGGACUAGAGCUGGGGAUGGGACUAGGGCUGGGGAUGGGACUAUGUCUGAGCUGGGGAUGGGACUAGGUCUGAGCUGGGGAUGGGACUAGGGCUGGGACUAGGGCUGUGGAUGGGACUAGGUCUGAGCUGGGGAUGGGACUAGGUCUGAGCUGGGGAUGGGACUAGGACUGGGGAUGGGACUAGGUCUGAGCUGGGGAUGGUCCUAGGUCUGGGGAUGGGACUAGGGCUGGGACUAGGUCUGAGCUGGUGAUGGGACUAGGACUGGGGAUGGGACUAGGGCUGAGCUGGGGAUGGGACUAGGGCUGAGCUGGGGAUGGGACUAGGGCUGAGCUGGGGAUGGGACUAAGGCUGAGCUGGGGAUGGGACUAGGGCUGGGGAUGGGACUAGGGCUGAGCUGGGGAUGGGACUAGGGCUGGGGAUGGGACUAGUGCUGAGCUGGGGAUGGGACUAGAGCUGGGGAUGGGACUAGGGCUGGGGGGAUGGGACUAG